UUGGGGCAGCCUUGGGACUCCAGGAAGCAGUACUCCGGGCAAGAGAGCCACAAUCCAAGCAGAACCAGCCUCCCCAGGUGUAGCUGAGAAGGAGGAUGUGCCUCCUUCAGAGGUCUGCACACUGCAGGUAUCAUAGGCAGAGAGGAAGGGGACAGUGAACUUGUUCCAUCCACAUAUGAAACAUCCGCCGGGGCCUCCCAGACAGUUUAGAAAAGGCUACAAGACUGGCCCUCAGGUCUGCUCUGGAGCUGGCAAGGACAAUAGGGCCCACGAAUCCAGGGUGUUAACUCCAGGUAAGGCAUGGAGUUUCCAACGUGUGAGGCACGUCACAAAGCAAAUCCCUGUGAGUGGACACCCCCAAGCUUCAAGCAGCCAUUAGAGUCACCGGACUGUCACUCACAGGCAGAGACAGUCCCCACGUGGCUGGACAAACAAGCAGAAUUUCCCCUGGGCCGGUUGCUCGGCCUUUCCAAGGUUCCUGAACAUGUUCUCAGGGCUGGCAUGGGCAGAAUAAGCACUUGAAAAUUGACAAACCUCUUUUGAUGACCUAAUGAUCACAUUGAAGCUUCACAACAGCCAAGUGGGCAGGAAAGGCAAUCACUCCCAUUUUACGUGAGACAAAGCCUCUCCCUGGAGACUCUGGCCUCUCCUGUGCAUCAGCAGAUUAUUCCUGGCUUUGAAGAUUAUGGAUUCCCCUGGAAUCCCCGGGAUUGAUAAUCCCUGAAGGCUCUGCAUUCUCCAACAGCCUAUGAUCUGAGGGUUGAUGGUGGCAUCUAAGAUUUAUAACCCAGUCUAGGAUCAGCUCAUUCCUCUUUUGCAGCCUUCCCAGAAAUUUGGAAAGUUGAACAAGUGACAAACCAUUCCACUGGAUUUCUUGAUGUGUCUAUGAAACAUUUGCCUAGAUUUUAAUUCUGCUUGAUCUUCAAUAUAUACUAAAUCAGUUAGGCAGGGAAGCAAUGUUUAUGAAAUUAUUUCCCAGGUGAAGAAUAUUUAUUUCCCCUAGCAUGCCUGAAAGGUAACUGACUGCCUGAUUGUGACCUUUAAAACUCACCCCCAAAAAUUAAAUAUCUUCCCAACCAAAUUCUACUGAGACCUCAAAUGCCACAGUUAAAAAUAUCCAGUUAGAUGCAAACACUGUAUUCUCUAGGAGGCGGGAUAGGUUCAUGUCAUCAGUCAUUCACACCCUAGUAGAAAUGAGCUCAUCACCUGCUUUUUUUCCUUCUGCAAUAUUGGCUGAGAGUGACACUAAUAAUAACUGUAUCUAUCAUUUACUGGAUAUUUACUAUUAGUAGAUCCUUUGCAUGGGCCAAGAUCUUUAAGAUUAAAUAAAUUAAUACAUGUAAAACAUUUAGAAAAAUGACUGGCUUACGGUAAGUGCUAUAUCAGUAUUUCAUAUGACUGUUCUUCGCUUUUAUUAUCUCAUUUAGUCUUCACAGCCCUAUAAAAGAUACUGUAAUUAGUCCCAUUUUACAGAUGAUGACAUUGAGGCUGAGAGGAAAUGCCACUCGUCCAAAGUCACAUAGCUAAUAAAUAAUAGUGUGAGAUUGAAGCCCACGCACCUUGAUUCCAGGGGAAAAAGAAAGUGCAGAAGCAAAGAGGAGGGAAACUGCCCUAAAUAAAACUGCUCCCUAUUUUAUACUGGUUACUAUUUCCAAAUGCUUUCUGAGCACACCACUACUAGUGGUGUAGAGAACUGUGCUACAGCCACAUGUACCAUAGGCAUGUGUGAGGCCCUAGCCCUGUCCUUAGAGACGCCUGCACUCUGGAAGAAGAGACAAGCACGAACUCAGAUAAUUAUAACUCCAGGGUACCUGCAUGGCUCUCAAAAGGCCUGUCCUGGGAGAACUCAGGGCAGAACAAUGCAGCCUCAGGCCUCCAAAUUAGAAUGUUAGGUUACAGGGGCUUAGAAUGAUGUCUUCUAAGUCAGACCUCAAGACAUCUAGCUGACAGGAUAGCUUUUUCUACUUUUUUAUUUAUAUGAAAAGUCUUACAAAGGCAUGAAAGUAAGACACAUUUUUUUAUCUUGAUUUCCUUAAUUUAAAAAGUUGAAGUGCAUGAAAUGAGUCCAUAAUUUAAAAAGUUGAAGUGCAUGAAAUGAGUCCACUCCCCAUGCCUGCAGGCUGCUUUGAGGUCCCAUUCAGCACAGCAGGUAGUAUUACACCCAAGACCCUUCUCCCCACAGUGCCAGAGAGAAGAUGCCUACAUCCUAAGCGAGUUCAGUUUUCAGGGGCUCUAGACCUAGGACUGUGUGACCUCCAAAGCUGAUCCAGAGGAAAAUGAAUUUAAAUUGCCUGAGGUUAACCUCUUCACAAAGGACCCUUGGGACUGAUGUCGGGGAGAUGCUGGAGGUGAGCCAGGCGUAGCCUUGGGACUGGAACGUAACAAAGAGAAUCUCUCUCCUAUAUAGAUGAUAACCCAAGCAACCAAAAAAUGGCUCGACCUAUCUGGGUGUUCCGUCCUUUGUAAGGAAGAGGAUGUCUCAGCUGAGCUGAACUCUGUUUGUCUAGGCAGGUCUGACUUCAAAGCAACAAUGGUCGAGUCAUUUCUUUGUGCCACGAUGCUAAGCUCAUGGAUAAUCCUUCUGAGAAUAAUUUGACUCCAGAUAGAGGCCUUCUGUAGGGAAAGAACCCACUGACCAGCCAAUGCAAUGUGGGUCACACUAGAAGUUACAUUUCUCACUCUUAGCAAGUGAUGUCUGGUCUUGGCAAUGACUUUGGGAAGGCUGCAGCAGUCACCUCUAUACCAGUCAUUUCUGGCUGAGUUCCUCGUUCUUGAAACUAUGACGCCAUCUUGUUGCUCAUGCACCACUCACUAUGAGAUCUUUGAGACUGGCAACUGCAUCUUGCUCAUGUUAGUAUAUGAACUGGCAUGUAGCUGUCACUCAGAGCACAUCUGUUGAAUGGGUGUGAACUGAGACUUUUCUGAAGCGACAAAGCAGACUGUAACCACCACCGGCACCUCAAUGUUUAACAUAUGCUAAGUGCUACAUUUAAUUUGCUAAAAAUCCAAGGGAAUUCCAACUUUGUUACCUCUUAAGAAAUUCCUGAGCAUUUUGAAAUAGCCCUUGCUAUUGCCAACUCCGGUUUUGCAAAAACCCAGAGAUCAUUAAAAAAUCAAAGGACCCACCUCAUUUCACACAACUCACCAACAGAGAUAACUGGACAGAGGUGGGCUGGGAAGCCAACGAGCUAGAAAUGAUGACGGGCACUGCCUCGACAGCCAGCAAACCUGAAUCUUAAGAAUGCUACUUACUAAUCAUGUGACUUUGACAAACUGGGCCAUCUGUCUGAGCUUCACAUUCCUCAUCUAUAAAUCAGAGGUAACAGAAGUUAAUGACCAUGUAUCUGACUCUUUGAGUCACUGUGGAUAUUAACAGUGGAAUAAUCAGGGCCUGGCAAUUAACAAACCCUCGAUGACUGUUAGUUGGAAUUGCUAUUAGUGAUGAUGAUACAAUGCAACUCUGGAAGGAGCAGUUAACUUCUGAGGAAAACCAGCUCCCACAUCCUCUGUGUAAUUUUGCCCAAUAUAAGGCCAAGCGUUGCCAAAAGCUUAGAAGUAAAAGAACUUGUCUGCACAUAUCUGGUGGGACCACUUCCUUAUGGUGGGCUGGCAAGUCUGAGAGUAAGCCCCUGCACUGAGUGACCCGGGAGCUAUCGUAUAGGGGAAGGAGAGCAGGAGGAAGAUGAGCAGCAGAGAAGAGAAAAGAACAGGCAUUCACUCAUGCACCCAGCAACUAAGACAAAUUGAAUGGAUCCUAUUUAAAAUCUGAUCAGAGAGGAAAAGGCAUGAACUCGAACAGGCUGAAGUAGAAAGAGCUGGUGAUGAUGUGAUGAAGGCGAUGAUCCCAGGGCUGGCAUAAACCGAGAAUUGAGAACUAGACCUCAGCUUGAGGAGCAGGGAUCAGGGAAGGCUGCAUAGCAGGCGUGGAACUCUUCAAUAAACAGGCCAUACUGUGUUUUACUCUUAUCAUCCUCUAUCAAAAAAAAAAAAAAAACAUGUGUCCUUGGCCAGGUGCAGUGGUUCAUGUCUGUAAUCCCGGCACUUUGGAAGGCUGAGGAGGGUGGAUCACAAGGUCAAAAGAUCGAGACCAUCCUGGCCAAUAUGGUGAAACCCUGUCUCUACUAAAAAUACAAUAAUUAGCUGGACAUGGUGGCGGGCACCUAUAGUCCCGGCUACUCCAGAGGCUGAGGCAGGAGAAUCAAUUGAACCAGGAGGGCGAAGGUUGCAGUGAACAGAGAUCUCACCACUGCACUCUGGUGACAGAAUGAGACUCUCAAAAAAAAAAAAAAAAAAAAAAAGUACUCUCUUAAUUCAUGACUGUUUCUUAUCUUUAAUAUUCA
Callithrix jacchus (white-tufted-ear marmoset) is the source of this 4340-nucleotide long non-coding RNA. RefSeq lists it as uncharacterized. Lineage: Eukaryota; Metazoa; Chordata; Mammalia; Primates; Cebidae. The record is from RefSeq and is a predicted model, not a curated record.